Molecule: ribosomal RNA, 685 nt
Filed under: uncultured bacterium
Lineage: Bacteria
Description: bacterial SSU rRNA
Rfam family: Bacterial small subunit ribosomal RNA
Source: RNAcentral
AACGCUAGCUACAGGCUUAACACAUGCAAGUCGAGGGGUAGCAGGGUAGCAAUACCGCUGACGACCGGCGCACGGGUGAGUAACACGUAUCCAACCUACCAUUCACACGGGGAUAGCCUUUCGAAAGAAAGAUUAAUACCCGAUAGUAUAGCGAUAAGGCAUCUUAUUGUUAUUAAAGAAUUUCGGUGUUUGAUGGGGAUGCGUUCCAUUAGAUUGUUGGUGAGGUAACGGCUCACCAAGUCUUCGAUGGAUAGGGGUUCUGAGAGGAAGGUCCCCCACAUUGGAACUGAGACACGGUCCAAACUCCUACGGGAGGCAGCAGUGAGGAAUAUUGGUCAAUGGACGAGAGUCUGAACCAGCCAAGUAGCGUGAAGGAUGAAGGCCCUAUGGGUCGUAAACUUCUUUUAUAGGGGAAUAAAGUGCGGAACGUGUUCCGCUUUGUAUGUACCCUACGAAUAAGGAUCGGCUAACUCCGUGCCAGCAGCCGCGGUAAUACGGAGGAUUCGAGCGUUAUCCGGAUUUAUUGGGUUUAAAGGGAGCGUAGGUGGAUAUAUAAGUCAGUUGUGAAAGUUUGCGGCUCAACCGUAAAAUUGCAGUUGAUACUGUAUGUCUUGAGUGUACAAGAGGUGGGCGGAAUUCGUGGUGUAGCGGUGAAAUGCUUAGAUAUCACGAAGAACUCCGAUUG